GGUCUGUUAGCUCAGUUGGUUCAGAGCGCUUCCUUCACACGGAAGAGGUCGAGAGUUCGAAUCUCCCACAGACCACCA
RNAcentral lists this transfer RNA (78 nucleotides) under Bacteroidales bacterium. RNAcentral's name for it is "tRNA-Val". It matches the Rfam family "tRNA". Rfam says of the family: Transfer RNA (tRNA) molecules are approximately 80 nucleotides in length. Lineage: Bacteria; Pseudomonadati; Bacteroidota; Bacteroidia; Bacteroidales. The record is from RNAcentral. RNAcentral also lists the same sequence under 1 other name.